This 494-nucleotide ribosomal RNA is filed under the name uncultured bacterium. Its description in RNAcentral is "partial 16S ribosomal RNA". It matches the Rfam family "Bacterial small subunit ribosomal RNA", at positions 28 to 507 of the family's 1533-position model. The record is from RNAcentral.
GACGAACGCUGGCGGCGCGCUUAACACAUGCAAGUCGAACGGAAAGGCCUGCUUUCCCUUGUGGAUUGCGGGUACUCGAGUGGCGAACGGGUGAGUAACACGUGAGUGAUCUGCCCCCAACUUGGGUAUAAGCCUGGGAAACUGGGUCUAAUUCCCGAUAGGACUGCAGGGUGGUGCCUGUGGUGGAAAACGAUUUUCUAGUGGUUGGGGAUGAGCUCGCGGCCUAUCAGCUUGUUGGUGGGGUAAUGGCCUACCAAGGCGGCGACGGGUAGCCGGCCUGAGAGGGUGGACGGCGACAUUGGGACUGAGAUACGGCCCAGACUCCUACGGGAGGCAGCAGUGGGGAAUAUUACACAAUGGGCGGAAGCCUGAUGCAGCGACGCCGCGUGGGGGAUGACGGCCUUCGGGUUGUAAACUCCUUUCGACCGCGAGGAAGCCACCUGGUUGGAAGGGUGGUGACGGUAGUGGUAGAAGAAGCACCGGCUAACUACGUG